GUGCAGUGGCACGAUCUCGGCUCAUUGCAAGCUCCACCUCCCGGGUUCACGCCAUUCUCCUGCCUCAGCCUCCCGAGUAGCUGGGACUACAGGCACGCACCACCACACCCAGCUAAUUUUUUUGUAUUUUUAGUAGAGACAGGUUUCACCGUGUUCGCCAGGAUGGUCUCGAUCUCCUGACCUCGUGAUCCACUCGCCUCAGCCUCCCAGGCGUGAGCCACCGCGCCUGGCCAAAAAAAAUUUAUAUAUACUUUUUAGAAGCUUUAGUGGCUGGGCACAGUGGCUCACUCCUGUCAUCCCAGCACUUUGGGAGGCCAAGGUGGGCAGAUUUUCUGAGGUCAGAAAGACCAACCUGGCCAACAUGGCGAAACCCCGUCUCUACUAAAAAUACAAAAAAUUAGCUGGACGUGGUGGCACACACCUGUAGUCCUGGCUACUUGAGAGGCUGAGGCAGGAUAAUUGCUUGAACCCAGGAGGCGGAGGUUGCAGUGAGCCGAGAUUGUGCCAUUGUACUUGUACUCUAGCCUGGGCAACAGAAAGAUACUUCAUCUCAAAAAGAAAAAAGAAGCUUUAGCAUGUGUUACUUUAUUUUUACCAAGGUGGAAUAAGGAGAUACCCUUUUUUAUCUGAUCAGAUUGAGUGUAGGGACAUGGAUUCCCCCAUAAUUUGUGAGAAUAUACAAAUCCAGGCAACAUUUUUGGAGACAAUUUGGAGUGAGUACAGAAGUGUCUAACUCCCUUACCCUACAACUCAACAGCCCUGCUUCUAGGAAUCUAUUUGAUAGAAAAACUUGCACAAAUGUAAAAAUAAAUAUGGGGCCGGGCGCGGUGGCUCACGCCUGUAAUCCCAGCACUUUGGGAGGCUGAGGUGGGUGGAUCAGCUGAGGUCGGGAGUUCGAGACCAGCCUGACCAACAUGGAGAAACACCGUCUCUACUGAAAAUACAAAAUUAACCGGGCGUGGUGUCAGGUGCCUGUAAUCCCAGCUACUCAGGAGGCUGAGGCAGGAGAAUCGCUUGAACCCAGGAGGCGGAGGUUGCAAUGAGCUGAGAUUGUGCCAUUGCACUCCAGCCUGGGCAACAAGAUUGAAACUCUGUCUCAAAAAAUAAAUAAAUAUGAACAAAGUUGUAUGCUAUGUCAUUGUUUAUUGUAUCAAAACAGAUCGGAACAACCCAACCAUCCAUUGGCAGGGGAAUGAUUUAAAUAGUUGUGCUAGAUGGAAUCUCAUGUAGUCAUUUUUUUUAAUAAAGAGAGGUGGCUUGGCCGGGCGCGGUGGCUCAAGCCUGUAAUCCCAGCACUUUGGGAGGCCGAGACGGGCGGAUCACGAGGUCAGGAGAUCGAGACCAUCCUGGCUAACACGGUGAAACCCGUCUCUACUGAAAAUCUGAAAAACUAGCCGGGCGGUGGCGGGCUGUAGUCCCAGCUACUCGGGAGGCUGAGGCAGGAGAAUGGCGUAAACCCGGGAGGCGGAGCUUGCAGUGAGCUGCGAUCCGGUCACUGCACUGCAGCCUGGGCGACAGAGCGAGACUCAGUCUCAAAAAAAAAAAAAAAAAAA
Long non-coding RNA from Macaca fascicularis (crab-eating macaque), 1553 nucleotides. The record is from Ensembl. NCBI's taxonomy places the organism in Eukaryota, Metazoa, Chordata, Mammalia, Primates, Cercopithecidae.